RNAcentral lists this ribosomal RNA (497 nucleotides) under uncultured bacterium. RNAcentral's name for it is "partial 16S ribosomal RNA". It matches the Rfam family "Bacterial small subunit ribosomal RNA", at positions 28 to 507 of the family's 1533-position model. The record is from RNAcentral.
GAUGAACGCUGGCGGCGUGCCUAAUACAUGCAAGUCCAGCGAACAGAUAAGGAGCUUGCUCCUUUGAAGUUAGCGGCGGACGGGUGAGUAACACGUGGGUAACCUACCUAUAAGACUGGGAUAACUUCGGGAAACCGGAGCUAAUACCGGAUAACAUUUAGAACCGCAUGGUUCUAAAGUGAAAGAUGGUUUUGCUAUCACUUAUAGAUGGACCCGCGCCGGAUUAGCUAGUUGGUAAGGUAACGGCUUACCAAGGCGACGAUACGUAGCCGACCUGAGAGGGUGAUCGGCCACACUGGAACUGAGACACGGUCCAGACUCCUACGGGAGGCAGCAGUAGGGAAUCUUCCGCAAUGGGCGAAAGCCUGACGGAGCAACGCCGCGUGAGUGAUGAAGGGUUUCGGCUCGUAAAACUCUGUUAUUAGGGAAGAACAAAUGUGUAAGUAACUGUGCACAUCUUGACGGUACCUAAUCAGAAAGCCACGGCUAACUACGUG